GCCUCUGUGUGCUGGGGGAAAAAGAAAGCAAUUGAUUUUGUUUGGGAGAAUUUUAUGUUAGUCCUUUUUAUUAUCUCAAGAAGGGUCAUGAAAUCCUCUAAAGCAAAAUCAAUUACAGCCACGCUCUGGGAGGCCAGAGCAGCCCUUUGGCUUAUGAGCAACAGGCAGGUCUCCAGAGGAGAAGCCCCAGCCUUUGAGUUGCUGCUGGUCUGCUCCCUGUUGGCUUGGAUCCAGGUCACCCUCUGCUCUUCAUAAAGCUCUUUUGUCAACUUACCAAGGGACCUGCCCUGAAAGCCACAGCGUGGGGCAGGGACAGACACCUAGUCCAAGCUGGACCAAUCGAUUUGCUCUCCCAGAAGUUGGGAAGUCAGACUCAGAGCCAGUUAGCCUCCAAAUGUGGGAAGAACAAAAGAGACAUUACCCUGGUGGUUGGGGAUGGUGCAUGAUCAGCCGGGCGUUCCAAGAAGGAAAAAAGGAAAAACCGUCUGAGCAGAGAAAGAAACAGUCGACAGGUGAAAUGAAUGACAAUGUUCUGGAGAACCUUCAGACCCUGGCACUAGAGCCCUUUGACUGGACUUGGCUUCUGGUAGGAACUCAGAUUAUGUCCCAAGCACUGUGCGGAGGGCACUACAGAGCACAAAUGGACCCAGUCCCUGCCUAAGAGAGCUGAGAGUGGACAGUUAAGGAGCUGUAACACUAAAGCACUGCAGGGGGUGUCCUCUGCUGCCCUGCAGGACCCACCCCUACCUUUCCAACAAAGAAUGUUUUCUCUGCUUCCAUGAUGUCAAUCAGAACCCUUGAAACGAUUGGCUCAGGAAGGGACACUUGGCCAAAAGUCAAUCAAUCAAGACCUCCCUGGAACUCUUCUGCCACUGUUAUUCUGAAAGCCCUUGUGGUCCCACUGCUGUAGCUAACCAAAAGGCUGCAAGUAUGGGAUGCUAUUUUGACCACCAUGAGGAGAUGGCUGGUUCAAGAAACUGAGAGAGAGAGACCCAGAAUGCUAUAAUUAGCAGCCCACUGAUAUUUCCAGCGAUCAAGCCAAGAAAUCAUCUUCCUUGUUGUUUAAGCUAAUUUGUGCUGUAUUCCUUUCCCUUAAGAUUCUUUUAUUGUGAGGAGAGACAAAGGAAGUACCAGGUUCCAAAGAACCUCUCAGUGGGCACAUGUAUUAGAAGAUCGCAGGUUAUAGGAUCUACUCUGUCCAAUAAUUUACAUGUAUAGGUAGGCUUUCGAUGUUGAUUGACUAUUGAACAUUUCUAUUCAAAUGAUUGUUUCUGUGCAUCACCACCUUAGGAUUUCUAAGAUGUAUGAUACUCACUGAGCCUUGGGAACAUAACAGCAUAUCAUAUCACCUCUAGGUUCUUAGAGAACAGUCCGUAAGAGAGAUAUUCCUGGGGCUCCUGCAACAGAUUGAAGACAUUCAGUGGUGGUGACAGUGAAGGGACAGCCUUCAGUCACCUGCAGCUCAGAAGAGCCUGAAUUUCUCAUGUGCAGUUGGCAUCCUGCAUCACGCCCUUCAUCCCAACAGGACUGAGGCUGGUUCCCUAGCAACCGUGCUCCCUGCCUGUCCACCCACCCAGAAUUACAGCCAAUGCUUCCUCCCUAGGCUCUCUGGGAUCACUCCCCAAUGCUCAGCUUCUCAAAGUCUCUGUCAUCCCUCAACUGUCCCCCAGGAAGCACAUUCUCACUCUUCACCUCGCAAGCUUUAGAGUUUAUAAUGUUCCACUUACCUUUCUUCAUCAGAUGUUUAUGGCCACCCCAGGAAUAGGAAUCACUCUCUCCACUUAUGGACGAGGAAACUGAAGCUCAGAAAAGCUGGGAAACUUUCCUGAGGACACACAGCUCGCAAAUGGAGGAGCCAGGGUAAAACAAAGAAAAAAAAAUCACUUCAUCCUUCAGGGUGCUGUCCUCGUGAAUAAGCCGAACACUCACCCACCCUGGCUUCCGGGCUUUGCCAAAUCCUUCAGUGAUCAGUCUCCACGAUUCUUUGGGCCUUCUUCUUUUUCACUGGCCUGGGCUCCAACCCUGCUUCACCUUCCUGGAUGCAGCUUCCAAAUCGUGUCCCCACCCUCCGAGACCAUCUAGCCUCUUCCUGUCCUACUUCGUACCACCAAGGACACAUCAGAGGUCACAGGGUCAUAGGAUGGGACAAUCAAUGGGACAAUGGUUGAAAAGCACUGAAUCCCAGAGUAACUGGGUCAGUUAAGUAGUCACUUAAGUGACUCCCAGGGACAAGUUAACAAAUAAGUUGACGAUAGCAAUACACAAAAUAAUUCAGGCUGGGGCUGAUGUUUACAAAACUAAUUUGGGUUUUGCAAUGAAGAAAACUUGACCCCAGCAGGACUCUGUCCUGACUUCCUGGGGGGGCCGAGGGGAACCUUCCCCCAAGGGCUGGGGUCUUCUGGAGAAACCAGAAGUAAAGCAGAUUCUCCACAGGGCACUAAACAAGCAGCAGACUGUGGAAGUGUGUUCAGUUAGACUUAUAAUCCUGAGAAAAGUGCCAGAAGAUGUUCUGUCACCAGGUCAGCCACAGCUAUUGUCUGUGACAGGAUUGGCCAUGCCAAGCCCGAUUGCUAGCCCCUGGUGACAUAAGUAUGUCUGCACACAACAGUGUGUUUCUAUGUGAACGCAUGUAUCUGUGACUGUGUGUAGUUUGGUGAUUGCAGCAUAUAAACUUGCUGUUUUCCUAAGUCCAAAGCAGAAUAGUAUUGGUCAUUUCAUUCGGUUCAAACUAACGCUUUAAAAACUGGAAAAUUCCAUAUUCAUGAAAGAUUUAUUCACCAACCUCCACUGAAAAUGUGGUUUUCAACACCAACAAGCAACACAGAGGAACUGCUUGGUUUUCAGUUGACAAGUAAAAGAGAUGGGACAAAGACAGCGGGACUUGCUCCCAAUUACACGUGGUUCCUGGCAGCUGGGCAGCUGAGCGGGUUCAACCGGCACCUGUCAGAGGCACUAUCUGCUACAAUCCAGUCAGACCCUUUGUGCUGACCCAUCGGCCUCAUUUGCUGGCAAGAUUAUCCUGGGCUUUACUUCCCUUUGCUCUUCCCUGUGUGGGAACAUGAAGCUCCAGGUCUCAGAGCUCGGCCUGCAACUCCAUUCCAGGCUUCCCAGACUGAAUGGGCCUUUCCCUUCUUGGCCCCAGCCCCCUUGCUGAGCCCUGUUCAACCCCAGCACACCACAGACCGGCUCUCGCAUGUAUUUUAAAUCUAGGAAUUGUCUUUCCAGGAAACUUCUUAUUGUGUUUAUCUAGGUCUAUUCUCCUAAAAAAAAAAAAAAAUGUGGGCAGUCAUAAGAAAAACUCAAAAGGCAAGAGGGCUGCUUCCAGGGAGAAGCUGGGAGCCCGGCCAGCUCGUGGAGAACCUGGGGAAAGAGGCCUGGCUGAUGGCAACCCAGCCAUCAAGUCAGCCAGAAAAAAAAGAACUGCCCUUGGAGGAAUGAGCCCUAAGAUGCCAGAGGAGGUUGAAGGGUCUGAUCUGGCUCAGGUGGGAUUCUCCAGGAAAAACACCCUGCAGGGACCAACCCCGAAUCAGGCCGUGCUGCCCUGCUGGACAUCACUAUGGGCAGUCAGAGGGAGGAAGGAGAGGUCGUGAGGAGGGAAGGAGGUGGCUAGGGGGAGUCACCAGACUGAUGCAACUGGCUUUGCAAUACCGUCUGUGCCUCCCCACUUCUUAAAAAGCAGGUCAUCUCACCAAAACAAGGCCCUUUAUCUUGGUGAUGUUGCAUAAAGAGUGCAAUAUUUAAGACAUUCAUGCUAAAAAAUUAUUCAUCGCUCAUCUGAAAUUCAAAUUUAACCAGUGUCCUGUAUGUUACCAACAACAUCAGGAGGAUGGAGAAGCUCCCAGAGGGAUCACAGAACCAAGUGUCCAGCCUAUGAUGACAGCCAGCCCUGGAUCCUCACCACACACAUCUAUUCCCAGAGGCUAACCCCACAGUGCAGUCAGCAGGUGAGAGACAAGCUCACACUUCAGAGCAGGAUGAGAGGGGUCAGCUCCCCUCCUGAUCCCCUGUCUCUGUGCUGCCUGGCACCCCACAUCUAGGCUGUGCUCUGGCUCAAUUCCUAAACUAAGGGUCUGAGGCUUAGUGAUUUAAGUAGCUCCCCACCCAUGCCUGCUGAUACCAGGAGGCACUGACAACCCCUUCCCCAAAACAUAGCAUCAGAGUCACACUUCUGGUCUCUAGAGAAGGAUUCUUUUGGGGGGGGGAGGGCACCAGGGAUUGAACUCAGGGGCACUCAGCCACUGAGCCACAUCCCCAGUCCUAUUUUGUAUUUUAUUUAGAGACAGGGUCUCACUGAGUUGCUUAGUGCCUCACUUUUGCUGAGGCUGGCUUUGAACUCCUGAUCCUCCUGCCUCAGCCUCCCCAGCCACUGGGAUUACAGGCAUGCACCACUGCUUCCAGCUAGAGAAGGGUUUUUUUUUUUAAUGGCUUUUUCUUUUAAUUUUGAUUAUGAUAGCUAUAAAUGAUUAUGCAAAUGAUUCUGUGAAAAAAAGAAAUGGAAAAUAGAGGCAAUUCUGAAUAAAAGAACAUGACACAA
Marmota monax (woodchuck) is the source of this 4534-nucleotide long non-coding RNA. RefSeq lists it as uncharacterized. The record is from RefSeq and is a predicted model, not a curated record. Lineage: Eukaryota; Metazoa; Chordata; Mammalia; Rodentia; Sciuridae. The transcript is spliced from 2 exons.